UAGAUUAAGAGGUUGUUGAGUAAUGUAGGCAAGCUGGAGCCUGGAUGGCGUGACUCCAAGAUCUGUGUGGGACAUUUGCAAGAAGAGAGCAGCUGGAGAGGAGAAUGUGGGAGAUAUUUGAAGAAAUUUCAAGAGAGAAUAUUGAUAUUCCUGUUUCAGGAGGAUAUGCCACUCUUAUUUACAGAGAGGAACUGGAGUUUUAAAGGAAAAAUAAGGUGAUGUUGCUGAUUUUCAGAAAUAUUUUCAGCUUCAGAUAUCUGUGAUAAAAAUGAGAAAAAAGAAGUGGAUGUUCUGUCAGAAGGUAUUGGUGAGAUAGGAGACCCAGAAUUGGGAUGAACAUGCGUGAGAAAAAAGUGACUCUGCUCCCUUUGUGAUCGGGGCGAACAUGACUAACUGAUCCAGGAAUUUGUUUCAUUUGGUCACGAAUGGGCUUUGCAAAUCCUUCCUAAUGACAUGACAGUGUCACCUACUGGCAAAGCAGGACCCUAUGAGGCAUCUAAAGGGAGAUUUAGCCAGAUAUGUUGUUUAUCAGUGCUCCUGAAUUUCAAUGUCAAUUUAUUGUAGAAAUCUUAAAAACUUAAUCCUCCUAAAAUAAUGCUGUUUUUAGGGGCAACACAUAAUUGUGU
RNAcentral lists this long non-coding RNA (626 nucleotides) under Homo sapiens (human). Its description in RNAcentral is "HSALNT0091877". Lineage: Eukaryota; Metazoa; Chordata; Mammalia; Primates; Hominidae. The record is from RNAcentral.